RNAcentral lists this ribosomal RNA (455 nucleotides) under uncultured organism. RNAcentral describes it as "partial 16S ribosomal RNA". It matches the Rfam family "Bacterial small subunit ribosomal RNA", at positions 329 to 800 of the family's 1533-position model. The record is from RNAcentral.
ACGUACACUCCUGCGGGAGGCAGCAGUGGGGAAUAUUGGACAAUGGGCGCAAGCCUGAUCCAGCCAUGCCGCGUGAGUGAUGAAGGCCCUAGGGUUGUAAAGCUCUUUCACCGGUGAAGAUAAUGACGGUAACCGGAGAAGAAGCCCCGGCUAACUUCGUGCCAGCAGCCGCGGUAAUACGAAGGGGGCUAGCGUUGUUCGGAUUUACUGGGCGUAAAGCGCACGUAGGCGGACUAUUAAGUCAGGGGUGAAAUCCCGGGGCUCAACCCCGGAACUGCCUUUGAUACUGGUAGUCUUGAGUUCGGGAGAGGUGAGUGGAAUUCCGAGUGUAGAGGUGAAAUUCGUAGAUAUUCGGAGGAACACCAGUGGCGAAGGCGGCUCACUGGCUCGAUACUGACGCUGAGGUGCGAAAGCGUGGGGAGCAAACAGGAUUAGAAACCCGGGUAGUCCCAUGA